UACGAAGGGGACUAGCGUUGUUCGGAAUUACUGGGCGUAAAGCGCACGUAGGCGGGUUGUUAAGUCAGGGGUGAAAUCCCGGAGCUCAACUCCGGAACUGCCUUUGAUACUGGCAAUCUAGAGACUGGAAGAGGUUAGUGGAAUUCCCAGUGUAGAGGUGAAAUUCGUAGAUAUUGGGAAGAACACCAGUGGCGAAGGCGGCUAACUGGUCCAGUACUGACGCUGAGGUGCGAAAGCGUGGGGAGCAAACAGG
RNAcentral lists this ribosomal RNA (253 nucleotides) under uncultured bacterium. RNAcentral describes it as "partial 16S ribosomal RNA". It matches the Rfam family "Bacterial small subunit ribosomal RNA", at positions 524 to 776 of the family's 1533-position model. The record is from RNAcentral.